RNAcentral lists this ribosomal RNA (1683 nucleotides) under Gyrinomimus sp. UW 113191. Its description in RNAcentral is "16S rRNA". It matches the Rfam family "Bacterial large subunit ribosomal RNA". Lineage: Eukaryota; Metazoa; Chordata; Actinopteri; Beryciformes; Cetomimidae. The record is from RNAcentral.
CGCUAAAAAGCUAGCCCACAAACCAGGAAUAAAAAACCACUAUAAGUUUUUUCCGAAAUAAUUUAAAACAAAUUAAUAAACCAUUUUUCCCUCCUAGUACGGGCGACGGAAAAGAGACCAAGCGAGCAAUAGAAAUAGUACCGUAAGGGAAAGCUGAAAAAGAAAUGAAAUUAAACCAUUUAAGCUUUAAAAAGCAGAGAUUCAAACUCGUACCUUUUGCAUCAUGAAUUAGCCAGUCCCCCCAAGCAAAGAGCCCUUUAGUUUGGCACCCCGAAACUGGAGCGAGCUACUUCGAGGCAGUCUAUUAUAGGACGAACCCGUCUCUGUUGCAAAAGAGUGGGAAGAACUUUGAGUAGAGGUGAUAAACCUAACGAGCCCAGUAAUAGCUGGUUCCCUAGGAAAUGGAUUGAAGUUCAGCCCCCUAAAUCAUUAUGCCACCCUAGAAUAACUAGAUCUGGACCUUAAUAAAUUAGGGGAGUUAAUCAAAGGAGGUACAGCUCCUUUGAAAAAGACACAACUUUAUUUAGAAGGGUAAGGAUCAUGCUAAUUAAGGCAAGUGCCUGAGUGGGCCUAAAAGCAGCCACCUCAAGAGAAAGCGUUAAAGCUCAAGCACACUUUUAAGCCCCAUAUUAUGAUAAUAUUUCCAACCCCCCUAACCCCACUAGGGCCUCUCAUGCAACCAUGAGAGAGGUCAUGCUAAUAUGAGUAACAAGGAGGUAAGAGACCUCCUCCUGGCACGCGUGUACAUCGGAACGGCCAAACCACCGACUAUUAAACGGCCCCAACAAUUAGAGGGAAAUGAAUAAUAAACUAUACACUAGAAAUGCAUUCAAAUUACGCCGUUACCCCUACACCGGAGUGCUUGAAGGGAAAGACUGAAAGAAAAAGAAGGAACUCGGCAAACGGAAGCCCCGCCUGUUUACCAAAAACAUCGCCUCUUGCACAAUAAGAAUAAGAGGUCCCGCCUGCCCUGUGACAUCUGUUUAACGGCCGCGGUAUUUUGACCGUGCAAAGGUAGCGCAAUCACUUGUCUUUUAAAUGAAGACCUGUAUGAAUGGCACAACGAGGGCUUAACUGUCUCCUUUUUCCGGUCAAUGAAAUUGAUCUUCCCGUGCAGAAGCGGGAAUAACAACAUAAGACGAGAAGACCCUGUGGAGCUUUAGACAAUAAGCAGAGCAAGCUGAAUGCUUUUAAAUUAAAAAAAUUAAACUUGCGCACCCUGCUUAAAUGUCUUUGGUUGGGGCGACCGCGGGGAAUACAAAACCCCCAUGUGGAACGAGGGAACAUCACUCUAAAGCUAAGAACCCCUAUUCUAAGCAACAGAACUUCUGACCAAAACGAUCCGGCUAAAGCCGAUCAACGGACCGAGUUACCCCAGGGAUAACAGCGCAAUCCCCUUUAAGAGCCCAUAUCGACAAGGGGGUUUACGACCUCGAUGUUGGAUCAGGACACCCUAAUGGUGUAGCCGCUAUUAAGGGUUCGUUUGUUCAACGAUUAAAGUCCUACGUGAUCUGAGUUCAGACCGGAGCAAUCCAGGUCAGUUUCUAUCUAUGGAAUGAUCUUUUCUAGUACGAAAGGACCGAAAAGGAGAGGCCUAUGCUAUAAGCAUGCCUCGCCCCCACCUAGUGAAGACAACUUAAGUAGGCUAGAGGGCCUGUCCUCUCUAGCCUAAAAAAACGGCGU